Molecule: ribosomal RNA, 251 nt
Filed under: uncultured bacterium
Lineage: Bacteria
Description: partial 16S ribosomal RNA
Rfam family: Bacterial small subunit ribosomal RNA
Source: RNAcentral
UACGUAGGGUGCAAGCGUUGUCCGGAAUUAUUGGGCGUAAAGAGCUCGUAGGCGGUUUGUCGCGUCUGCUGUGAAAACCCGAGGCUCAACCUCGGGCCUGCAGUGGGUACGGGCAGACUAGAGUGCGGUAGGGAGAUUGGAAUUCCUGGUGUAGCGGUGGAAUGCGCAGAUAUCAGGAGGAACACCAAUGGCGAAGGCAGAUCUCUGGGCCGUAACUGACGCUGAGGAGCGAAAGCAUGGGGAGCGAACAG